RNAcentral lists this long non-coding RNA (602 nucleotides) under Zostera marina. Its description in RNAcentral is "long non-coding RNA (ZMAR_LNC001955)". Lineage: Eukaryota; Viridiplantae; Streptophyta; Magnoliopsida; Alismatales; Zosteraceae. The record is from RNAcentral.
GCACUCCAAAGAGUUUUUCACUCAUCUUGAGAUCUACAAAGUGUUCUUGCUUUCAAGUUUCCAAGCUUCCAAAAGCUCUCAAGUGUCCAAGCUUCAAAAGCUCUCCAACUUCUACUUCUAACCUUCUUGUUCAUUUUUAUAAGUAAAAAGUUUUGUGUGCUUUAAACAUUCCACUCCUCUAAUCUUCUCUUGUGUGUGUCCACUUUGGUUGAGAGGUUUGUCUCAAUAUCACCAAAGUGUGAGAGAAGGUUUUUGAGUUCAACCAUAAAGCUCUUGUUUGAUUUUAUAGAGUUUCCGGGAUAACUCUUAGGUGGAAUCUACCUUAAAAGAUUUAGAAAGGUUUUUAAGAGUUCUUUAAUACUCUAAGGUCCUAACUUACCCGUAAAAGUUAGAGGUUUUUAAAAGUUCCAUAAUACUCUAAGGUGUGAGUCUACCCGUAAAAGACUGGUUCCUAAACGAAGUAGCCUUAAAGCUUAGAGAGGUUUUUAAGAGUUCCUUGAUACUCUAAGGUACUAACUUACCCGUAAAAGUUAGAGGUUCUUAAGAGUUUCCUUGACACUCUAAGGUGUGGGUCUACCCGUAAAAGACUGGUUCCUAAGCGA